CCCUUAGAUGUUCUGGGCCGCACGCGUGCUACACUGAGUGGAUCAGCGGGUCAGGUUGCGCGAAAGUGUUUCCUAAUCUUGAAAUCCGCUCGUGAUGGGGAUUGACGGUUGCAAUUUUCCGUCAUGAACGAGGAAUACCUUGUAAGCGCGGGUCAUCAUCCCGCGCUGAAUACGUCCCUGCCCUUUGUGCACACCGCCCGUCGCUCCUACCGAUUGAGUGGUCCGGUGAGGCUUUGGGAUCUGAGCGGAAAGAGCGUUUCGCUGUUUCUGCUCGGAAAACUCAGUCGAACCUUAUCAUUUAGAGGAAGGAGAAGUCGUAACA
Molecule: ribosomal RNA, 322 nt
Filed under: uncultured eukaryote
Lineage: Eukaryota
Description: partial 18S ribosomal RNA
Rfam family: Eukaryotic small subunit ribosomal RNA
Source: RNAcentral